AACGUAGGAGACAAACGUUAUCCGGAGUUACUGGGCGUAAAGCGCACGUAGGCGGCUUUGCAAGUUAGAGGUGAAAGCCCGGGGCUCAACUCCGGAAUUGCCUUUAAAACUGCAUCGCUAGAAUUGUGGAGAGGUAAGUGGAAUUCCGAGUGUAGAGGUGAAAUGCGUAGAUAUCGUAAGGAAGACCAGUGGCGAAGGCGGGUCUCUGGACAGUUCCUGACGGCUGAGGCACGAAGGCC
This 239-nucleotide ribosomal RNA is filed under the name uncultured bacterium. RNAcentral's name for it is "partial 16S ribosomal RNA". It matches the Rfam family "Bacterial small subunit ribosomal RNA", at positions 524 to 761 of the family's 1533-position model. The record is from RNAcentral.